Oncorhynchus tshawytscha (Chinook salmon) is the source of this 2898-nucleotide long non-coding RNA. The record is from Ensembl. Lineage: Eukaryota; Metazoa; Chordata; Actinopteri; Salmoniformes; Salmonidae.
AAGAGAGGAAGAGUGGUACUGGGAAGAGAGGAAGAGUGGUACUGGGAAGAGAAGAAGAGUGGUACUGGAAAGAGAGGAAGAGUGGUACUGGAAAGAGUGGUACUGGAAAGAGAAGAAGAGUGGUACUGGAAAGAGUGGUACUGGGAAGAGAAGAAGAGUGGUACUGGAAAGAGAGGAAGAAGGAAGAGUGGUACUGGAAAGAGUGGAAGAGUGGUACUGGGAAGAGUGGUACUGGAAAGAGAGGAAGAGUGGUACUGGAAAGAGAGGAAGAGUGGUACUGGAAAGAGAGGAAGAGUGGUACUGGAAAGAGAGGAAGAGUGGUACUGGAAAGAGAGGAAGAGUGGUACUGGGAAGAGAGGAAGAGUGGUACUGGAAAGAGAAGAAGAGUGGUACUGGAAAGAGAGGAAGAGUGGUACUGGGAAGAGUGGUACUGGUAAGAGAGGAAGAGUGGUACUGGGAAGAGUGGUACUGGUAAGAGAGGAAGAGUGGUCUGGGAAGAGUGGUACUGGUAAGAGAGGAAGAGUGGUACUGGAAAGAGAGGAAGAGUGGUACUGGAAAGAGAGGAAGAGUGGUACUGGGAAGAGAAGAAGAGUGGUACUGGAAAGAGAGGAAGAGUGGUACUGGAAAGAGUGGUACUGGUAAGAGAGGAAGAGUGGUACUGGGAAGAGAAGAAGAGUGGUACUGGAAAGAGUGGUACUGGUAAGAGAGGAAGAGUGGUACUGGGAAGAGAGGAAGAGUGGUACUGGAAAGAGAAGAAGAGUGGUACUGGGAAGAGAGGAAGAGUGGUACUGGAAAGAGAAGAAGAGUGGUACUGGGAAGAGAAGAAGAGUGGUACUGGGAAGAGAAGAAGAGUGGUACUGGAAAGAGAAGAAGAGUGGUACUGGAAAGAGUGGUACUGGGAAGAGAAGAAGAGUGGUACUGGGAAGAGAGGAAGAGUGGUACUGGAAAGAGUGGUACUGGGAAGAGAAGAAGAGUGGUACUGGAAAGAGAAGAAGAGUGGUACUGGGAAGAGAAGAAGAGUGGUACUGGGAAGAGAAGAAGAGUGGUACUGGAAAGAGUGGUACUGGGAAGAGAAGAAGAGUGGUACUGGGAAGAGAGGAAGAGUGGUACUGGAAAGAGUGGUACUGGGAAGAGAAGAAGAGUGGUACUGGAAAGAGAAGAAGAGUGGUACUGGAAAGAGAGGAAGAGUGGUACUGGAAAGAGAGGAAGAGUGGUACUGGGAAGAGAGGAAGAGUGGUACUGGGAAGAGAGGAAGAGUGGUACUGGGAAGAGAAGAAGAGUGGUACUGGGAAGAGAAGAAGAGUGGUACUGGGAAGAGAAGAAGAGUGGUACUGGGAAGAGAGGAAGAGUGGUACUGGAAAGAGAGGAAGAGUGGUACUGGGAAGAGAGGAAGAGUGGUACUGGAAAGAGAGGAAGAGUGGUACUGGAAAGAGGAAGAGUGGUACUGGAAAGAGAGGAAGAGUGGUACUGGAAAGAGAGGAAGAGUGGUACUGGGAAGAGAGGAAGAGUGGUACUGGGAAGAGUGGUACUGGGAAGAGAAGAAGAGUGGUACUGGAAAGAGAGGAAGAGUGGUACUGGGAAGAGAAGAAGAGUGGUACUGGAAAGAGAGGAAGAGUGGUACUGGGAAGAGAAGAAGAGUGGUACUGGGAAGAGAGGAAGAGUGGUACUGGAAAGAGAGGAAGAGUGGUACUGGGAAGAGAAGAAGAGUGGUACUGGAAAGAGAAGAAGAGUGGUACUGGAAAGAGAGGAAGAGUGGUACUGGGAAGAGAAGAAGAGUGGUACUGGAAAGAGUGGAAGAGUGGUACUGGAAAGAGAAGAAGAGUGGUACUGGAAAGAGAGGAAGAGUGGUACUGGAAAGAGAGGAAGAGUGGUACUGGAAAGAGAGGAAGAGUGGUACUGGAAAGAGAGGAAGAGUGGUACUGGGAAGAGAAGAAGAGUGGUACUGGGAAGAGAAGAAGAGUGGUACUGGAAAGAGAAGAAGAGUGGUACUGGAAAGAGAGGAAGAGUGGUACUGGGAAGAGAAGAAGAGUGGUACUGGGAAGAGUGGUACUGGGAAGAGAAGAAGAGUGGUACUGGAAAGAGUGGUACUGGGAAGAGAGGAAGAGUGGUACUGGAAAGAGAGGAAGAGUGGUACUGGGAAGAGAAGAAGAGUGGUACUGGGAAGAGUGGUACUGGGAAGAGAAGAAGAGUGGUACUGGAAAGAGAGGAAGAGUGGUACUGGAAAGAGAAGAAGAGUGGUACUGGAAAGAGUGGAAGAGUGGUACUGGAAAGAGAGGAAGAGUGGUACUGGGAAGAGAGGAAGAGUGGUACUGGAAAGAGAAGAAGAGUGGUACUGGGAAGAGAAGAAGAGUGGUACUGGAAAGAGUGGUACUGGGAAGAGAGGAAGAGUGGUACUGGGAAGAGAAGAAGAGUGGUACUGGGAAGAGAAGAAGAGUGGUACUGGGAAGAGAGGAAGAGUGGUACUGGGAAGAGAGGAAGAGUGGUACUGGGAAGAGAGGAAGAGUGGUACUGGGAAGAGUGGUACUGGGAAGAGAGGAAGAGUGGUACUGGGAAGAGAGGAAGAGUGGUACUGGAAAGAGAGGAAGAGUGGUACUGGGAAGAGUGGUACUGGGAAGAGAGGAAGAGUGGUACUGGAAAGAGAAGAAGAGUGGUACUGGGAAGAGAAGAAGAGUGGUACUGGAAAGAGAGGAAGAGUGGUACUGGAAAGAGAAGAAGAGUGGUACUGGAAAGAGAAGAAGAGUGGUACUGGAAAGAGAGGAAGAGUGGUACUGGAAAGAGAGGAAGAGUGGUACUGGAAAGAGAAGAAGAGUGGUACUGGAAAGAGAAGAAGAGUGGUACUGGAAAGAGAAGAAGAGUGGUACUGGAAAGAGAGAGAGUGGUACUGGGAAGAGAGGAAGA